CCUACGGGAGGCAGCAGUAGGGAAUUUUCGGCAAUGGGGGGAACCCUGACCGAGCAAUGCCGCGUGAACGAAGAAGUUAUUCGUAAUGUAAAGUUCUUUUAACAGGGAAGAAAGAGAAAUUUGACGGUACCUGAAGAAUAAGCUCCGGCUAACUACGUGCCAGCAGCCGCGGUAAUACGUAGGGAGCGAGCGGUAUCCGGAAUUAUUGGGCGAAAAGGGUGCGUAGAUGGCAUAGUAAGUCUUUUGUAAAAAUGCUGGGCUCAACCCAGUAGGGCAAAAGAUACUGCAAAGCUAGAGUAUGAAAGAGGCAAGUGGAACUACAUGGGUAGCGGUAAAAUGCGUAAAUAUAUGUAAGAACACCAGUGGCGAAGGCGGCUUGCUGGGUCGAUACUGACAUUGAGGCACGAAAGCGUGGGGAGCAAACAGGAUUAGAUACCCUGGUAGUC
This 446-nucleotide ribosomal RNA is filed under the name uncultured bacterium. RNAcentral describes it as "partial 16S ribosomal RNA". It matches the Rfam family "Bacterial small subunit ribosomal RNA", at positions 338 to 795 of the family's 1533-position model. The record is from RNAcentral.